ACAACCCUUUAGAAAAAGAAUCAACAGAAUCUGUUGAUUCGUAUAGGUUCACUUGAUUGACUAUUGAAUUGUAAGUUUCGGUCACGAUUUAGGUAUAUUUGUGAUUCACUCCAUAGAUUCUAAUCGUACGAAUCGAAUUGAGAAGCAUAAGAUUCUAAAGCAGAGUUGUAAAGUGCAAAUGAGUCAUACAUACCCUGUGGUCAACAUGUAAAAAAUAAAUAAUUAAAUAUUGUCAAAAUAUAUUAAAAAUAUAAUAUUACUGUCUUAUAAUCUGACUAAACAAAAUUUAAUACUCUGAAAACUAUUAAAAAAAAAUAUUAUUAACACUAUCAAAUACAUCUCUCUUUAUA
RNAcentral lists this unclassified non-coding RNA (350 nucleotides) under Hevea brasiliensis (rubber tree). Lineage: Eukaryota; Viridiplantae; Streptophyta; Magnoliopsida; Malpighiales; Euphorbiaceae. The record is from RNAcentral.